Molecule: ribosomal RNA, 253 nt
Filed under: uncultured bacterium
Lineage: Bacteria
Description: partial 16S ribosomal RNA
Rfam family: Bacterial small subunit ribosomal RNA
Source: RNAcentral
UACGGAGGGGGCUAGCGUUGUUCGGAAUUACUGGGCGUAAAGCGCACGUAGGCGGCUUUGUAAGUUAGAGGUGAAAGCCCGGGGCUCAACCCCGGAAUUGCCUUUAAGACUGCAUCGCUUGAAUCCAGGAGAGGUGAGUGGAAUUCCGAGUGUAGAGGUGAAAUUCGUAGAUAUUCGGAAGAACACCAGUGGCGAAGGCGGCUAACUGGUCCAGAUCUGACGCUGAGGUGCGAAAGCGUGGGGAGCAAACAGG